This 468-nucleotide ribosomal RNA is filed under the name uncultured bacterium. RNAcentral's name for it is "partial 16S ribosomal RNA". It matches the Rfam family "Bacterial small subunit ribosomal RNA", at positions 28 to 507 of the family's 1533-position model. The record is from RNAcentral.
GACGAACGCUGGCGGCGUGCUUAACACAUGCAAGUCGAACGGGAAUGCCCUGCGUUUUCGGGGUCCUCGGGUGGCGAACGGGUGGGUAACACGUGUGUAACCUGCCCUUGGCUUUGGGAUAACUUCAGGAAACCGGGGCGAAUACCGGAUAGGAGCUCCUGCUGCAUGGGGGGGGUUGGAACGUUUCGGCGGUUGGGUAUGGACUCGCGGCUCAUCCGCUUGUUGGGGGGGUAGUGUCUUACCAAGGCUUUGACGGGUAGCCUGCCUGAGCGGGGAACCGGCCACACUGGGACGGAGAUACGGCACAGACCAGUCUGGGACGGAGCAGUGGGGAAGAGUGCACUAGGGGAGGAAGCCUGGUGCAAUAAAGCCGCGCGGGGUAUGACGGCAAGCGGGUUGGAAACCGCUUUCGUCUGGGCCGAAGCGUGAGUGACGGUAAUGGGUAAAGAAGCCCCGGCUAACUACGUG